This 466-nucleotide ribosomal RNA is filed under the name uncultured bacterium. RNAcentral's name for it is "partial 16S ribosomal RNA". It matches the Rfam family "Bacterial small subunit ribosomal RNA", at positions 28 to 507 of the family's 1533-position model. The record is from RNAcentral.
GAUGAACGCUGGCGGCGUGCUUAACACAUGCAAGUCGAACGGAAAGGCUCCUGCUUGCCGGGGUACUCGAGUGGCGAACGGGUGAGUAACACGUGGGUGAUCUGCCCUGCACUUCGGGAUAAGCCUGGGAAACUGGGUCUAAUACCGGAUAGGACGAUGGUUUGGAUGCCAUUGUGGAAAGUUUUUCGGUGUGGGAUGAGCUCGCGGCCUAUCAGCUUGUUGGUGGGGUAAUGGCCUACCAAGGCGUCGACGGGUAGCCGGCCUGAGAGGGUGUACGGCCACACUGGGACUGAGAGGCGGCCCAGACUCCUACGGGAGGCAGCAGGGGGGAAGAUUGCACAAGGGGCGCAAGCCUGAUGCAGCGACGCCGCGUGGGGGAUGACGGCCUUCGGGUUGUAAACUCCUUUCGCUAGGGACGAAGCGUUUUGUGACGGUACCUGGAGAAGAAGCACCGGCUAACUACGUG